GAAAGAACACAGAGAAAAUGAAUAAGAACAACUUU
This 35-nucleotide ribosomal RNA is filed under the name Tauphaedusa tau. Its description in RNAcentral is "partial 5.8S rRNA". Lineage: Eukaryota; Metazoa; Mollusca; Gastropoda; Stylommatophora; Clausiliidae. The record is from RNAcentral.